This is a long non-coding RNA of Cercocebus atys (sooty mangabey), 1051 nucleotides long. RefSeq lists it as uncharacterized. NCBI's taxonomy places the organism in Eukaryota, Metazoa, Chordata, Mammalia, Primates, Cercopithecidae. The record is from RefSeq and is a predicted model, not a curated record. The transcript is spliced from 3 exons.
AUCACAGGAUAACUAGGAGGAAUGGAAAAAUGAAUGGGAGUGUACAAAGCUCCCUUUUUAGGCCAGCUUAGUUGCCUGCAGCUGUGACCUGGACACUUCUAUUCACUAAUGCUCUCUGGCAACGAGAUAUACUGAUAAACACACACUAAUCACACCCUGGAAGAAAAUAAAGGGGGUGUAAAGGAACCAUGGAUUUAAACCAUCAUCUUGAGUCAUCAUCAAAGGACAGGACAUGGGAAACAAUUAAGGGAGAUUCAAUCAUCCUCGUCUCCUGAGUGUGGUGUAGAAAAUUGAGGCCCAACAGAUGGGGAACCCUACUUGGAUAGACCAACUUCACAGUGAGGGUGUGGUACAAGAGGAGUGUGGUAGGUUUCCUACAGUACACUGAAAACAUACAGAGUAAAUCUGAGUGCAUAAGUUUGUGUUGUAAAUGCAAUAAUACCUUUUCUCUGAUGAAUUAAUGGGAUAGUUUUUUCACCAUCUUCCCCAAGAACAUACAGUAAAUGGGGAAAAAUAGGUUUCUUUUGCUGCUGGUAAGUAUAGCAAAAAAAGCUUGCAAUUUGGCAGCCUAAUGGCCAUUUUCAGCCUGUCGGUUUUUUUUCUUUUAACUCGUAGUGGUUUUUAAAAUGAAAGAAUUUAAAAAUUGGGAAAUUUUACAUAAAAACCCAGAUUUUUGGAAAAAUCAGAUGAUCCAGCACAACUAGGCUUGGAUUCAGCGUGAUGAGGACCUGGCCAUGCGAGGGGCUGCCUGUUUAUGCUGAGAUAUCCGCUCUCUGCCUGACAGCUGUUCCCACCAGGCCCCAGGGUCUUGCAUCUGCCUGCCUUCCACAGUGGCCUCGCCUGUUGGCGUGCAUACAUCCCUGAGUUUGGAACUCACAUUCUGUUGAUCAUUUCUCACUUACUAAUACCCAUGGGCUUCAAAGACUUCAGUAUUUCACACGCCAGCUAGAUAAAAUCUGCCUUUACUUCUAAUUAAUGCAGAUACAAAUACAUGCUGGUUUUGAUAUAAGAAAAUAAUUGAAGAUUACAUUUAAUUUGGAAAUAGCUGAAA